Molecule: long non-coding RNA, 2513 nt
Organism: Beta vulgaris subsp. vulgaris (sugar beet)
Lineage: Eukaryota; Viridiplantae; Streptophyta; Magnoliopsida; Caryophyllales; Amaranthaceae
Exons: 4
Source: RefSeq, a predicted model, not a curated record
GGGGUAAAUCCCUCGAAAGUUUAGCUAUUGAAUUUUCCCCAAAUUUCGCACAUUUCCCUCCCUCCCUUUUUUUAUUUCCCUCCAAAAAAUAAGAACUAGUAUUCUCAAUUAUGUAUUCAGUAUUCCCCAAAUUUGAACCAGUAUUCUUCAUCUCCCAAAUUUAUACUCUCUAGCUCUCAUUCCCUGUUCGGUUUUUCCCUCUCGGUGCUGGCAUAUUAGUGGCAUCUAUCCUUCUCCCUUUAUCUCUUCAGUUCUGUAAAAAAAAUUCACAGAGAUGGAAGUAGAAGGAGAACAGAUCGGGAUUCUUGCUAAUAUCAAUGAAAAUGAAACUGAACCAGAAAGUCCUAUUCUUCCCAAAAGACGGAGUCCAUAUUGGGAUGAGUUUCUUGCAAUCGACCCAAGCGUGAGUAAAGAUGGAAAAUUUCAUGCAAUAUGUAAGCAUUGUAAACUUGCAUCAUUCAUAGCAACUUCACACUAUGGAACAUCUAACAUGAAAAAACAUCUUGAUAAAUGCUCUAACUAUGCUGCACAUCUAGUGAGUGUGAAGAAUGAUGGACAUCAACCUGUGUUCGAUCAAAAAGUCUACAGGGAGUUGGUUUCCAAAACAAUCAUAAAACAAGGGUAUUCUUUUUCUUGGGUAGAACAUGAAGGAAAUAGAGAUAUCCAUACUUAUUUAAACAAUCAAGUUAGAAAAGUUUGUAGGAACACCAUAAAAUCUGAUUGUUUAAAGUUGCAUGCAACCUUAAAAGCUCGAUUGAAGGAUGUCCUUCACAAGGUCUCUGGUCGUAUUUCCUUAACUUGUGAUAUGUGGACCUCUUGUCAAACCGAGAGUUAUCUGUGUUUGACUGCUCGCUAUAUGGAUAUUGGAAAUUAAAUUGCAGGGUCCUAAAUUUUUAUCACAUGGAUUCCCCCCAUACAGGUUCUGCCAUGUAUAGUAUUUGUUAGACUUACUUUAUGAUUGGGGUAUUCGUGAUAAAAUUUUCUCUUUUACAUUGGAUAAUGCUUCUAGUAAUGACAAAAUGCAAGACUACAUGAGAGAAACACUUAGGAAAGAAGGAGCUUUGUUGUAUCAAGGUGCUUACUUUCAUGUCCGAUGUGCGACUCAUGUGUUGAACCUUAUUGUCAAGGAUGGACUAAAAGUGAUUGAUCCUAUUAUCUAUAAAGUUAGAGAAAGUGUAAAAUAUGUAAAAUGGUCGAAAAUACCAAAAAAGACUUUCCGUCGUUGUUUGAAAAAAGUUCAGAUACAAGAGACAAAAGCAUUAUGGCUUGAUGUUCCUACUAGGUGGAAUUCUACUUAUAUGAUGCUUGAUAGAGCUAUAUUGUAUCGUGCUGCUUUUGAGCAAAUGCAAAAGGUUGAUAGUUGUGGCUCUUAUUGUACUUGUCCAGAACUUGAAGAGUGGGAGAAUCUUGAGCAGAUUAGGAAUAUUUUAGAGCCAUUCUCUCAUAUAACUGAGUUGUUUUUUGGUAGUAAUUAUCCCACCUCAAAUCUGUACUUUGAAAAUGUGUGGAAGAUUGCUAUGCUUUUGAAGGAUUUGGUGUGAAGCGAUGAUCUUUCUAUAAUACUAAUGGCUUUUGAGAUGAAGCAAAAAAUUGACAAGUAUUGGCUUAACUCGACCGAGGAUGAUUAUGGGACUUUAUUUGCUUUUGCAAUGAUUCUUGAUCCCCGUUGUUAGUUACAAGUUCUCAAGUUUUGUUAUAAAAAGUUGUAUGGUGAUGAACAACGCGCUAUGACAAAGAUAAAUGAUGUUAGACUCAAGUUGGAGUUAUUUUUUGAAGAGUAUACUCAAGAGAGUAAUAUUUCAAGUGCAACACGAAUACCUACGACAUCAACUACAAAUAAGAAGCGCCCAUUCGAUUAUAUCGAUGAAUAUGAAGAGGAAAGAUGCUAUCAAUUCAUUUUGCACAAUUACUUGGAAGAUGAGAAAUUGGAUCGAAAAAUGCAACUUGACAUAUUGAGUUUUUGGAAAGAAAAUGAGCAUCGGUAUGGAAAGCUUUCACAUUUAGCUAGGGAUAUUUUAACCGUGCCCCUUACAACCGUAGCUUCAGAAUCAACUUUUAGUGUAGGGGGGGGGGGGAGUUUUAAAUAAAUGGAGAAGCUCUUAUCUUCCUGAAAAACGUAGAGGCCUUGAUAACUAGUCGGAGUUGGUUGUACGGCUUCCAAGCUGAUGAAGAAAGUGAGUAUGUUGGAUGUGAUGUGGAUUGGACUUCGACGAAAUCAGUGGCUCGGUAAUCCAGCUAGUUUUAGUGAAGAUUCAUGAAUCAUAAUGAAGACUUGUUUUUACUUUUGUUUUCCGUUUAUUAAUUCAAGUGCUUGUAUUAGUUACAUUGCCUUGGAGACAUUUGUUCUUGUAGGUACCUUAAUAUUGUAGGUACGUUAUUGUGGAGAUGGUUAUCUUACAAAAAAAGUGCAUUCAAUACUCUUGUUUAUCUAGCUUCUAUAGUCGCAGUGCUUUGAAUACAAAAAUGUCAUGAAGCUUUUAAUCACUGGUUCCAUGCAGUGGGCUUCAAUUUGA